GACGAACGCUGGCGGCGUGCUUAACACAUGCAAGUCGAACGGAAAGGCCCUGCUUUUGUGGGUGCUCGAGUGGCGAACGGGUGAGUAACACGUGAGUAACCUGCCCUUGACUUUGGGAUAACUUCAGGAAACUGGGGCUAAUACCGGAUAGGAGCUCCUGCUGCAUGGUGGGGGUUGGAAAGUUUCGGCGGUUGGGGAUGGACUCGCGGCGUAUCAGCUUGUUGGUGGGGUAGUGGCUUACCAAGGCUUUGACGGGUAGCCGGCCUGAGAGGGUGACCGGCCACAUUGGGACUGAGAUACGGCCCAGACUCCUACGGGAGGCAGCAGUGGGGAAUAUUGCACAAUGGGCGGAAGCCUGAUGCAGCAACGCCGCGUGCGGGAUGACGGCCUUCGGGUUGUAAACCGCUUUCGCCUGUGACGAAGCGUGAGUGACGGUAAUGGGUAAAGAAGCACCGGCUAACUACGUG
RNAcentral lists this ribosomal RNA (467 nucleotides) under uncultured bacterium. RNAcentral's name for it is "partial 16S ribosomal RNA". It matches the Rfam family "Bacterial small subunit ribosomal RNA", at positions 28 to 507 of the family's 1533-position model. The record is from RNAcentral.